CGGCGUCCGAGUUGUAAUUUGCAGAGGGCGCUUUGGCAUUGGCAGCGGUCCAAGUUCCUUGGAACAGGACGUCACAGAGGGUGAGAAUCCCGUACGUGGUCGCUAGCCUUUACCGUGUAAAGCCCCUUCGACGAGUCGAGUUGUUUGGGAAUGCAGCUCUAAAUGGGAGGUAAAUUUCUUCUAAAGCUAAAUACUGGCCAGAGACCGAUAGCGCACAAGUAGAGUGAUCGAAAGAUGAAAAGCACUUUGGAAAGAGAGUUAAAAAGCACGUGAAAUUGUUGAAAGGGAAGCGCUUGCAGCCAGACUUGCCUGUAGUUGCUCAUCCGGGUUUUUACCCGGUGCACUCUUCUAUAGGCAGGCCAGCAUCAGUUUGGGCGGUUGGAUAAAGGUCUCUGUCAUGUACCUCCUCUCGGGGAGAACUUAUAGGGGAGACGACAUGCAACCAGCCCGGACUGAGGUCCGCGCAUCUGCUAGGAUGCUGGCGUAAUGGCUGUAAGCGGCCCGUCUUGAAACACGGACCAAGGAGUCUAACAUCUAUGCGAGUGUUUGGGUGUCAAGCCCGAGCGCGUAAUGAAAGUGAACGGAGGUGGGAACCUUUCGGGGUGCACCAUCGACCGAUCCUGAUGUCUUCGGAUGGAUUUGAGUAAGAGCAUAGCUGUUGGGACCCGAAAGAUGGUGAACUAUGCUUGAAUAGGGUGAAGCCAGAGGAAACUCUGGUGGAGGCUCGCAGCGGUUCUGACGUGCAAAUCGAUCGUCAAAUUUGGGCAUAGGGGCGAAAGACUAAUCGAACUAUCUAGUAGCUGGUUCCUGCCGAAGUUUCCCUCAGGAUAGCAGUAACGUUUUCAGUUUUAUGAGGUAAAGCGAAUGAUUAGAGGCCUGGGGGUUGAAACAACCUUCACCUAUUCUCAAACUUUAAAUAUGUAAGAAGUCCUUGUUACUUAAUUGAACGUGGACAGUUGAAUGUAUCGUUACUAGUGGGCCAUUUUUGGUAAGCAGAACCGGCGAUGCGGGAUGAACCGAACGCGGGGUUAAGGUGCCAGAAUAUACGCUCAUCAGACACCACAAAAGGUGUUAGUUCAUCUAGACAGCAGGACGGUGGCCAUGGAAGUCGGAAUCCGCUAAGGAGUGUGUAACAACUCACCUGCCGAAUGAACUAGCCCUGAAAAUGGAUGGCGCU
This 1177-nucleotide ribosomal RNA is filed under the name Epicoccum sp. RNAcentral's name for it is "partial large subunit ribosomal RNA". It matches the Rfam family "Eukaryotic large subunit ribosomal RNA", at positions 132 to 1329 of the family's 3401-position model. The record is from RNAcentral. Lineage: Eukaryota; Fungi; Ascomycota; Dothideomycetes; Pleosporales; Didymellaceae.